AUUGCUUUGGCAGAAUAGUGUAAUAGAUUUAGGAUCUUUUUAUGUGGAUAGUAUCUACAAGUAGUA
RNAcentral lists this transfer RNA (66 nucleotides) under Scolytinae sp. BMNH 1274713. RNAcentral's name for it is "tRNA-Leu". Lineage: Eukaryota; Metazoa; Arthropoda; Insecta; Coleoptera; Curculionidae. The record is from RNAcentral.